Molecule: ribosomal RNA, 906 nt
Filed under: uncultured archaeon
Lineage: Archaea
Description: bacterial SSU rRNA
Rfam family: Archaeal small subunit ribosomal RNA
Source: RNAcentral
GCUACUGCCAUCAGAGUUCGAUUAAGCCAUGUUAGUCGAGGGUGCUUCUUCUUCGGAAGAGGUAACCCGGCGGACGGCUCAGUAACACGUGGAUAACUUGCCCUUGGGUCUGGGAUAACCCCUGAGAAAUUGGGGACAAUACCGGAUAGGGCAUCGAUAGCUGGAAUGCGCGAUGUCCAAAAGCUGGGGCGCCCAAGGAUAGGUCUGCGGCCGAUUAGGUUGUUGUUGAUGUAAUGGAUCAACAAGCCUGCAAUCGGUACGGGUUGUGAGAGCAAGAGCCCGGAGAUGGGUUCUGAGAAAAGAACCCAGGUCCUACGGGACGCAUCAGGCGCGAAAACUUUACAAUGUGCGAAAGCACGAUAAGGGAACUCUGAGUGCCUCCUAUGGAGGCUGUUCAGGUGUCUAAAAAGCACUUGAAGUAAGGGCUGGGUAAGACCGGUGCCAGCCGCCGCGGUAACACCGGCAGCCCAAGUGGUAGCCACGAUUAUUGGGUCUAAAGCGUCCGUAGCCGGCCAGGUAAGUUCUUUGGGAAAUUUAACCGCUCAACGGUUAAGCUUUCAGGGAAUACUGCUUGGCUUGGGACCGGGAGAGGUCAGAGGUACUUCAAGGGUAGGGGUGAAAUCCGUUAAUCCAUGAGGGACCACCAGUAGCGAAGGCGUCUGACCAGACCGGGUCCGACGGUGAGGGACGAAGGCUGGGGUCGCGAACCGGAUUAGAUACCCGGGUAGUCCCAGCUGUAAACGAUGCGGGCCAGGUGUUGGCAUUACUGCGAGUGAUGUCAGUGCCAAAGGGAAGCCGUUAAGCCCGCCAUCUGGGGAGUACGGUCGCAAGGCUGAAACUUAAAGAAAUCGGCGGGGGAGCACCACAACGGGUGGAGCCUGCGGUUCAAUUGGAUUCAACGCCGGA